Molecule: ribosomal RNA, 497 nt
Filed under: uncultured bacterium
Lineage: Bacteria
Description: partial 16S ribosomal RNA
Rfam family: Bacterial small subunit ribosomal RNA
Source: RNAcentral
GACGAACGCUGGCGGCGUGCCUAAUACAUGCAAGUUGAGCGCUGAAGGUUGGUACUUGUACCAACUGGAUGAGCAGCGAACGGGUGAGUAACGCGUGAGGAAUCUGCCUUUGAGCGGGGGACAACAUUUGGAAACGAAUGCUAAUACCGCAUAAAAACUUUAAACACAAGUUUUAAGUUUGAAAGAUGCAAUUGCAUCACUCAAAGAUGAUCCCGCGUUGUAUUAGCUAGUUGGUGAGGUAAAGGCUCACCAAGGCGAUGAUACAUAGCCGACCUGAGAGGGUGAGAGGCCACAUUGGGAAUGAGACACGACCCAAACUCCUACGGGAGGCAGCAGUAGGGAAUCUUCGGCGAUGGACGAAAGGCUGACCGAGCAACGCCGCGUGAGUGAAGAAGGUUUUCGGAUCGUAAAACUCUGUUGGUAGAGAAGAACGUUGGUGAGAGUGGAAAGCUCAUCAAGUGACGGUAACUACCCAGAAAGGGACGGCUAACUACGUG